AAUAGAUACCCCGGUAGUCCAUGCCGUAAACGAUGUCUACUAGCCGUUGGGGCCCUUGAGGCUUUAGUGGCGCAGCUAACGCGAUAAGUAGACCGCCUGGGGAGUACGGUCGCAAGACUAAAACUCAAAUGAAUUGACGGGGGCCCGCACAAGCGGUGGAGCAUGUGGUUUAAUUCGAUGCAACGCGAAGAACCUUACCUGGCCUUGACAUACAGAGAACUUUCCAGAGAUGGAUUGGUGCCUUCGGGAACUCUGAUACAGGUGCUGCAUGGCUGUCGUCAGCUCGUGUCGUGAGAUGUUGGGUUAAGUCCCGCAGCGAGCGCAACCCUUUUCCUUAUUUGCCAGCACUUCGGGUGGGAACUUUAAGGAUACUGCCAGUGACAAACUGGGGGAAGGCGGGGACGACGUCAAGUCAUCAUGGCCCUUACGGCCAGGGCUACACACGUGCUACAAUGGUCGGUACAAAGGGUUGCUACUGCGCGAGCAGAUGCUAAUCUCAAAAAGCCGAUCGUAGUCCGGAUCGCAGU
RNAcentral lists this ribosomal RNA (527 nucleotides) under uncultured bacterium. RNAcentral's name for it is "bacterial SSU rRNA". It matches the Rfam family "Bacterial small subunit ribosomal RNA", at positions 777 to 1304 of the family's 1533-position model. The record is from RNAcentral.